UUUCUGCUGCAGAGGAAGAACUGCUUUCCGCAAGGCUGUCAUCCCAAAAUAACAGCCUGCGAUUCAGAGACUUUAUUAAGAAGACACCAGGUUUUACUCAAUCUGCAGAGGCGGAGCAAAAAUUUUAUGUUGGAGUACAUAAACUCAUCCCACUGUCUUGGGAUAUUCAAACUUUAUUGAACAGGGAUACACAAUGGAGAUCUACUCAUCAACUGCAUGUGUAGUGACAAUCUUGUACAUUUUUGCUACAUCCUCUGCGCAAGACAGUUCUUGGCUGCGUUCCCCAAAAACGCAGCCCAUCCCUGUAUCGCUGCAAACAACAGUGUUUCCCCUGCCAUUAUUUUAGGGGGGCGGCUCGCCCCCCCAACGGCACCCCAU
Molecule: long non-coding RNA, 378 nt
Filed under: Sinocyclocheilus grahami
Lineage: Eukaryota; Metazoa; Chordata; Actinopteri; Cypriniformes; Cyprinidae
Description: lncRNA (ENSSGRG00000000233.1)
Source: RNAcentral